GACGAACGCUGGCGGCGUGCUUCAUACAUGCAAGUCGAGCGGGGUCCAUCCAGUGGCAACACUGGUGAAGACCUAGCGGCGAACGGGUGAGUAACACGUGAGGAACCUGCCCCAGAGACCGGGAUAACCCUCCGAAAGGAGAGCUAAUACCGGAUGCCCCCACCGGAUCGCAUGGUCUGGUGAGGAAAUGGAUUCCGCUCUGGGAGGGCCUCGCGGCCUAUCAGCUUGGUGUGAGGUAACGGCUCACCAAGGCGUCGACGGGUAGCUGGUCUGAGAGGACGGUCAGCCACACUGGGACUGGGACACGGCCCAGACUCCUACGGGAGGCAGCAGUAGGGAAUCUUGCGCAAUGGGCGAAAGCCUGACGCAGCAACGCCGCGUGGGGGAUGAAGGCUCUCGGGUUGUAAACCCCUUUCAGCAGGGACGAUUGUGACGGUACCUGCAGAAGAAGGACCGGCCAACUACGUGCCAGCAGCCGCAGUAA
This 484-nucleotide ribosomal RNA is filed under the name uncultured bacterium. Its description in RNAcentral is "partial 16S ribosomal RNA". It matches the Rfam family "Bacterial small subunit ribosomal RNA", at positions 28 to 523 of the family's 1533-position model. The record is from RNAcentral.